AGCAGCCGCGGUAAUUCCAGCUCCAAUAGCGUAUAUUAAAGUUGUUGCAGUUAAAAAGCUCGUAGUUGAAUUUCGGGGUCAGCAGGUUGGUCGUGCCAAUGGUAUGCACUGGCCUUGCUGAUUCCUCCCUCUUGAUGAGCCGUAAUGCCAUUAAUUUGGUGUUGCGGGGAAUCAGGACUGUUACUUUGAAAAAAUUAGAGUGUUUAAAGCAGGCAAGCGCUUGAAUACAUUAGCAUGGAAUAAUGAAAUAGGACGUUUGAUCCUAUUUUGUUGGUUUCUAGGAUUGACGUAAUGAUUAAUAGGGAUAGUUGGGGGCAUUAGUAUUCAAUUGUCAGAGGUGAAAUUCUUGGAUUUAUUGAAGACUAACUACUGCGAAAGCAUUUGCCAAGGAUGUUUUCAUUAAUCAAGAACGAAAGUUAGGGGAUCGAAGACGAUCAGAUACCGUCGUAGUCUUAACCAUAAACUAUGCCGACUAGGGAUCGGAUGAUGUUAAUUUUUUAAUGACUCAUUCGGCGCCUUACG
RNAcentral lists this ribosomal RNA (522 nucleotides) under uncultured Glomus. RNAcentral describes it as "SSU rRNA". It matches the Rfam family "Eukaryotic small subunit ribosomal RNA", at positions 569 to 1092 of the family's 1831-position model. Lineage: Eukaryota; Fungi; Glomeromycota; Glomeromycetes; Glomerales; Glomeraceae. The record is from RNAcentral.